Trichosurus vulpecula (common brushtail) is the source of this 677-nucleotide non-coding RNA. The record is from the annotation of a RefSeq genome assembly. NCBI's taxonomy places the organism in Eukaryota, Metazoa, Chordata, Mammalia, Diprotodontia, Phalangeridae.
CUUUUGGGCAGAACUCCUAUUUAUGCAGAUAUUACUGACCCUGGACCACAGUUGUAACUCUAUCCUGCCUAGAGAAUCCUGCCAGGCUCAGCAGCAUGUCUGCCAGGACACUCACCCCUCUUUCCAGGAUCUACCUCCUGGGGCUGCUCCUCUUCAUUCUCCCAGGUUCCUGGGCCCAGGUUCGGCUAGUAGAGACAGGAGGAAGAGUGACGACUGAGGGCCAGUCUGUGACCCUGACCUGCAGGGCCUCUGGCUUUAACUUCAAGGACUAUGCCAUGUCUUGGCAUUGGAGCCCAACUGAUAGCCACAAGGAGCUCGUGGCCAGCAUCAGCCCCAAAACUGGAAGUAACAAAGAGUACAGCCCCAAAUUUCAGGGCAGAGCUUCCAUCACCAGGAACAAUGAGGCCCAAACUGUCUCCUUGACCUUGCGCCAGCUGCGAAAGGGGGACUCAGGGUGCCAAGUACUCACACCUUUUGGGACCAGAAUGCCAGUGCUGAUUCCUGGGAAAACAAUAAGUGACUGGGAGCAGGUAGAAUUCAGGCUGAAGUCCUGCUGUGAGAGAAGUACUCUGUGCCAUGCACCUGGCUGGGAUUGGUUCAACUGUGGGGAUAAGCAGAAAAAGCAAGCCCAGGUUCCAUUCAGGGGACCUCACAGCCUGGGGAGGCAGAAGAACUAA